GAAACUAAUCCUGAAAACUCCUUCGUUGGUGAAAGCCAGUUUAAAAAUCAAAAAACAAAAACUCCUAAUUUACGGUCAAACUCAUAGUCCAAUUACACCUGUUCUCUCAUCUGGGCUUUACUUUUAGCCCACAUAGCUUUCAUAAUUUACAAAUUUGGCCCAUUAGUUAUAGGACUCACUAAAUAUUGUACAUAAUAAUGUAUGGUACAAAAAACAGGCUCAUCAAUAUUUACAACAACGUGAUAACCCGCGCCCAGCACGUAAUAAAUAGAUUUAAAGAUAUUAUUACUUUUAAUCUAUAGAUAUUAGAAACCUUAAAAUUAUAUGCACAAA
Molecule: long non-coding RNA, 333 nt
Filed under: Brassica napus (rape)
Lineage: Eukaryota; Viridiplantae; Streptophyta; Magnoliopsida; Brassicales; Brassicaceae
Description: long non-coding RNA (BNAP_LNC020113)
Source: RNAcentral